Molecule: long non-coding RNA, 589 nt
Filed under: Homo sapiens (human)
Lineage: Eukaryota; Metazoa; Chordata; Mammalia; Primates; Hominidae
Description: HSALNT0325709
Source: RNAcentral
GAAUGGUAGAAAGCAGUCUUCAGCCUGAGACCCAUCCCUAGACUCUAUGGCACAAAGAGGCACUACAGAAAAUCCCAGAAUUUAUUCUGACUGAAGCAAUAUGCAACUGGCAAAACUGGCAGCUGAAAGGAUCCUGAAUAAGAAGAACUCCUCAAUUUGAAUCCAGGCUCUAUGCCAGGUAUUGGAAUACAAUAAGGAGCAAGACAGAAGAAUUUACCCGGUAGCAGGGUAGGAAGAUGACCAUCUUUGCAUCAGAAUAACUGUAUAGUAGUGUAGACAGGAAGUAAAAUGCAAGUAUAUCUUAAAAGAAAACAACAGUAUCUCUGUGAUUGAUACAUGAAGUGGCCAUCUCAAUAUGAUCAAUUAUGUUUGGAAAGAGAAAUUCCCUCAAACAUAUAAGAAUGGACUUUUAGUCUCACCUCCCUUAUUCCAGUCUUUGUGUAAUCUUGAAAGUGACACAGCCUUUUGUGGUAUUUUUCUGGGUUGUAAAAUGUGAAAAAAGAUUAUUCGCAUCUCAAAAUUACUAUCAGGAUUAAAUGAAAGAAUUUGCAUAAGAUAUUGAUCUGCAGUACAGUAUUUCAAAUAACUC